RNAcentral lists this unclassified non-coding RNA (349 nucleotides) under Hevea brasiliensis (rubber tree). Lineage: Eukaryota; Viridiplantae; Streptophyta; Magnoliopsida; Malpighiales; Euphorbiaceae. The record is from RNAcentral.
AAGGAGACUGAAGCUGGAUCAAAAUCUGAUGAGCUAACUAAAACAGCGGGUGAUCAGAGUAAAUCAGCUCUAGGAUCAAAAGAGAAGGAAAACGAAUCCAAACCAUCCCGAGUGAGAACCUUUGCUAAUGGGUUGGUUAUUGAGGACGUAGCCAUGGGUAAACCAGAUGGUAAAAGAGCUUCACCCGGAAACCUGGUUAGUGUUCACUACAUUGGCAAGCUAAAGAACGGCAAAAUAUUUGAUAGUAAUGUUGGAAGGGCACCAUUCAAAUUCCGCUUAGGUGUGGGACAGGUUAUUAAGGGAUGGGAUGUCGGGAUUAAUGGUAUGCGAAUUGGGGAUAAAAGGAGAU